RNAcentral lists this ribosomal RNA (494 nucleotides) under uncultured bacterium. Its description in RNAcentral is "bacterial SSU rRNA". It matches the Rfam family "Bacterial small subunit ribosomal RNA", at positions 37 to 524 of the family's 1533-position model. The record is from RNAcentral.
UGGCGGCGGCCUACACAUGGCAGUCGGACGGUAGCACAGAGAGCUUGCUCUCGGGUGACGAGUGGCGGACGGGUGAGUAAUGUCUGGGGAUCUGCCCGAUAGAGGGGGAUAACCACUGGAAACGGUGGCUAAUACCGCAUAACGUCGCAAGACCAAAGGGGGGGACCUUCGGGCCUCUCACUAUCGGAUGAACCCAGAUGGGAUUAGCUAGUAGGCGGGGUAAUGGCCCACCUAGGCGACGAUCCCUAGCUGGUCUGAGAGGAUGACCAGCCACACUGGAACUGAGACACGGUCCAGACUCCUACGGGAGGCAGCAGUGGGGAAUAUUGCACAAUGGGCGCGAGCCUGAUGCAGCCAUGCCGCGUGUAUGAAGAAGGCCUUCGGGUUGUAAAGUACUUUCAGCGGGGAGGAAGGCGACGGGGUUAAUAACCGCGUCGAUUGACGUUACCCGCAGAAGAAGCACCGGCUAACUCCGUGCCUGCAGCCGCGGUAUU